This 437-nucleotide ribosomal RNA is filed under the name uncultured bacterium. RNAcentral describes it as "partial 16S ribosomal RNA". It matches the Rfam family "Bacterial small subunit ribosomal RNA", at positions 29 to 507 of the family's 1533-position model. The record is from RNAcentral.
AGCGAACGCUGGCGGCAGGCUUAACACAUGCAAGUCGAGCGGGCAUCCUUGUGGUGUCAGCGGCAGACGGGUGAGUAACGCGUGGGAACGUGCCCUUCGGUUCGGAAUAACUCAGGGAAACUUGAGCUAAUACCGGAUACGUGCGAGAGCAGAAAGGUUUAUCUGCCGAAGGAUCGGCCCGCGUCUGAUUAGCUAGUUGGUGAGGUUAUGGCUCACCAAGGCGACGAUCAGUAGCUGGUCUGAGAGGAUGAUCAGCCACACUGGGACUGAGACACGGCCCAGACUCCUACGGGAGGCAGCAGUGGGGAAUAUUGGACAAUGGGGGCAACCCUGAUCCAGCCAUGCCGCGUGAGUGAUGACGGCCUUAGGGUUGUAAAGCUCUUUUCCCCGGGACGAUAAUGACGGUACCGGAGGAAUAAGCCCCGGCUAACUUCGUG